This is a long non-coding RNA of Lathyrus oleraceus (garden pea), 454 nucleotides long. RefSeq lists it as uncharacterized. The record is from RefSeq and is a predicted model, not a curated record. The transcript is spliced from 3 exons. Lineage: Eukaryota; Viridiplantae; Streptophyta; Magnoliopsida; Fabales; Fabaceae.
AACGGCGCCACUUUGCAAAAUGAAUGUGAUUUCUUUCUCACUCCGACUUAUCUUUCAUUGAUCCAUGAGCGAAGGACUGGAAUUUGGUUCAAAGACAACCAUUACAGGCUUGAUUCAAUGGAAGGAAUUAAUAUUGUAUUAUAUUUAUAUGAUAUGUUCUAUGAUGUUCAACCUAUGUCACAAUCAACCGUAAUUUCCUUGAUUAAGAUGAGUGUAAAGGUUCACGAUAAAAAGACAUGGAUCAUUCAAAUAAUUAAAGUUUGUCAGCAGCAACAACCGGGACAUUAUCAAAAAUCAAACGUAAUUGAGUGAUGUCUCAUAAUGUUUGGUUGUGUACUUCCCAUGACAAUACUUCACCUGACUAUGAAUGGUUACUGCCAUCAUGGUGGAAGAAGAAGGUCGAAUGAAGUCUUGCAGGGUUUAUAAUGUAACAAUUACAUGUUUUUAAAUUAUG